GUCAACAUAUUGGUCACUACGGAAGGAACCUUGAAGAGUUCAAGGGGUACUGUUCUUACUGUGGAGCAGACUUCUUUUAAGAGAAAGUCUACUGGAAAGAAGAAGAUAAAAUUCACUAAGAAGCAGAAGAAAGAGAACAAGCCAAGGAAGGAAGUUCCUAAGAAGGUUGAAGCAAAGGAAAAGUGUUUCCACUAUAAUGC
Molecule: long non-coding RNA, 200 nt
Filed under: Elaeis guineensis (African oil palm)
Lineage: Eukaryota; Viridiplantae; Streptophyta; Magnoliopsida; Arecales; Arecaceae
Description: long non-coding RNA (EGUI_LNC026707)
Source: RNAcentral